GACGAACGCUGGCGGCGUGCCUAAUACAUGCAAGUAGAACGCUGAGGUUUGGUGUUUACACUAGACUGAUGAGUUGCGAACGGGUGAGUAACGCGUAGGUAACCUGCCUCAUAGCGGGGGAUAACUAUUGGAAACGAUAGCUAAUACCGCAUAAGAGUAAUUAACACAUGUUGGUUAUUUAAAAGGAGCAAUUGCUUCACUGUGAGAUGGACCUGCGUUGUAUUAGCUAGUUGGUGAGGUAAAGGCUCACCAAGGCGACGAUACAUAGCCGACCUGAGAGGGUGAUCGGCCACACUGGGACUGAGACACGGCCCAGACUCCUACGGGAGGCAGCAGUAGGGAAUCUUCGGCAAUGGACGGAAGUCUGACCGAGCAACGCCGCGUGAGUGAAGAAGGUUUUCGGAUCGUAAAGCUCUGUUGUUAGAGAAGAACGUUGGUAGGAGNGGAAAAUCUACCAAGNGACGGNAAC
RNAcentral lists this ribosomal RNA (469 nucleotides) under uncultured bacterium. Its description in RNAcentral is "bacterial SSU rRNA". It matches the Rfam family "Bacterial small subunit ribosomal RNA", at positions 28 to 479 of the family's 1533-position model. The record is from RNAcentral.